This 31-nucleotide non-coding RNA is filed under the name Homo sapiens (human). The record is from RNAcentral. Lineage: Eukaryota; Metazoa; Chordata; Mammalia; Primates; Hominidae.
UNGCCCCUUGAGAUAGAUGGCUACUUUGCCU